CCCAGGAUUUGGAGUCAGAAGAUGCUGUCCUGGUUUACUCUCUCUGUUAACCAUGAGUCCUGGGGUAAUAGUGUAGCUGACAGAAAGAGCCUGGAUUUUAGAAUCAGGUAGCUCUUACUUAGAAUAACAACUCAGCCAAUCAGUGCAUGAUUUCAGGAAAUGUAAUCAACCUCCUCCAAGCCUUAGUUUCUCAGGCGUAAAAUGGAGAUAAUAAUAUGAACCUCACAGAGACGUUUGUGUAAAUUUAAUAACAUCAUGCAUGGAAAGUGCCCAGCACAAUUCCUGGUGUAGUGUACAUUCUCAGUAAAGCAUGGUCUCAGAUUUUACGUCUGUCAAAUCAUUGUAAUACUAUACUAUCAAAAUAUUUUAUAUUUAAGUCGUAAAUAGCAGUCUCCUCAAAUUCUAUCAUUCAUGUACCACUUUUGGGGUUUUGCCAUAUCUGUGCACCAAUGGUACUAAUAUUACUUAAUAUUUUUCUUUAACUGUACUCAUCUUUGAAAAAUGUAGCAUUUAUUUUAGUUGGUUUCAGGAAAAUUAGCAUAUUAUCCAUGAACUUGGGAGUAGUUGUACUGGUGAAUCUAGUAUGUUUAAAAAUCAAUACAUAAUUAUUAAAAUAGAAAACUAUGGCCACAUGCCCCCUGAAAUAAUCUCAUGAACCACCAUUGUAUGCCUACUACACUUUGGAAAACACUCAUUUACGUGAAAGUUUGUUAUUAUUAUAUUUUCAACCUUUCCUUUUCAGGACUUGGAAGCUAAGGCCCAGAGAGGAGGAGAAACUUGAUCAAAGUCAAUCAGACAAUGCAGAAUCGAGAAAAGUACCUGGACCUCUAUGCCCAUGCUUCUAGCAGCCAGCCUCCUAAAAUACCUCUAGUUGAAGCCAAAGUUAGAAUCCUUCUACGAAACUACAGGAUUAAAAUGGAAUGGUUACAUGACCCAGGCUUGACCAAUCAGAUCAUCCAAACCCUUUGCCACAGUGAUUGGUCCAGGGAUACAUGCAUGAGCCAGCUCAGGCCUAAGCCACACUCAUCUUGUGGAUGACACUGGAGCUGUGACAGUCUGUUCUGUCCAGGCAGGGUGUCUUUUAUUUUUAUUGGAAAUAAGAUUAUCACAGCCAGACCCAGAGCUCCAACCCUGGUGAUCCAGUUAAGAAGGCCACAUUUACAGGAAAGAAGAAAAACUGUUGUGCCCAGUUCCUGGCUGUUACACCACUGAGGGCUUUUCUUGUCUCUAACUUGCAGAAGUGCAAGUCCAUUUCACUUACAGAUUCCCUCAUCUGGCUAAGUAGUGUCCCAAAUACAAACAAUGAAAACAGCAUGGAAAAA
This 1322-nucleotide long non-coding RNA is filed under the name Homo sapiens (human). RNAcentral's name for it is "PREDICTED lncRNA (TCONS_00265595)". Lineage: Eukaryota; Metazoa; Chordata; Mammalia; Primates; Hominidae. The record is from RNAcentral.